This is a long non-coding RNA of Camellia sinensis, 1769 nucleotides long. RefSeq lists it as uncharacterized. The record is from RefSeq and is a predicted model, not a curated record. Lineage: Eukaryota; Viridiplantae; Streptophyta; Magnoliopsida; Ericales; Theaceae.
UGAUCUUCUUCGUUUUCAAAGUCAUCACAGGCUACAAAAUAGAGAUAAAGAAGAGAAGGGUGUGAUGAAUCUGAUUCCAGCAUCGUGGAAAAUACUAUGGGAUGUGUGGGAUGUUCGGAUGCUGGUUCUACUUAGUUUCACUUUACAAAUCAUUCUUUUUGUCUUUGGCAAACGUUGAAAGAAUAUGUCAUCACAAUGGAUUAAUGCGAUUGUCAGGUUGGCCUACAGAAUGGCCGAUUGGGUGGCAACUGUUGCCCUUGGCAAGCUCUCUUAUGCCCAAACUAAUAUUCCUAAUCCCAAUAAUGCAUUACAGGCAUUAUGGGCACCUUUGCUUUUAUUGCAUCUUGGUGGCCCAGACACCAUAACUGCUUAUUCUUUGGAAGAUAAUCAAUUGUGGAUAAGGCAUCUUUUGGGCAUGGGUGUUCAAGCUAAUGUGGCAAUUUAUGUCAUUGUUAUGUCUUGGAGGCAUUUCUGGUUUUCAUUUAUGUUGAUUCCGGCAUUCGUGGCUGGAAUUAUUAAGUAUGGGGAGAGAACAUGGGCUCUUACGUUAGCAUGCCAUGAUAAAUUUGGAUACAUUGUACCCUUUUAUUAUCUAAUGGCUGGCUCUAUGAAAGACAAGGAUAGAUAUAAAAAUGUUUUAAUUAUGGCCCACAUGAUGGUGAAGAAAUUUAAACGUUAUAUAGAGAAUUAUGACAUUGGUAGAUUUAGUUUCGAAGUACCGCAUAGGACAUCUGAAGAACCAAAAUUUCUGGCUGAAAUGAAUCGGGAUGAUGAUACAUGUUUGGGGGAUGUAUUGGAGGUUGAAAUGGGGCUAAUGUAUGAUUUAUUAUACACAAAAGUAGCCAUAACAUUUACCAAGAGAGGGUGCAUUUUUCGCUCUAUCAGCUUCAUGUGUACGGUGUCUGUGUUGGUAGGACUCUUCCGGCUUAUCGCCAUGAAGUGAAGUGGCACGAGCAGCACUACUCCAUGGUUGAUAUUGUCAUCACAGGGGUAUUAUUGGUCGGAGCUCUAGCUUUGGAGAUUUAUGCAAUAAUUUUGUUAUUAUUCUCUGAUUUGGCGAUGAUUUGGCUAAUUAAGUGCGGCAAAGGCAAAUGGGCAAUCCGAUUGUGGUAGAAAUUUCCUUGGUUUUUUGAAAAGAAGAAGUGGUCUAAAAAGAUGGGGCAAAUCGAUCUAUUCGAAGAGGAAGACAAGCGUCCAAAAUGGAGUAGAAUACUUGGGAGGUUGGGGAUUCAAGACUUGUUCAAUAGGUACAUGCAUAGUAUCCCUCGGAUGCUAUAUCCUAUGAUUAUACAAUUUAUUUAUCAUGCCGCCGACAACUCAAUUGACCUUGGGAGUCUUGAGGGGUUCUUUGGCUCUAUAGCUUUUCAUGACCAAAUUAUUAUUAUGCACCUCAUAACAUAUAUAUUAUACCGUUUUUCUAAUGAUACUAGUAAGUCAGAGUCAGAUUUAGAGUCGGUUACAGGCACUUCCGAAAAUAGUGCUUACUCAUGUGCACAUCAUGAUGAAAAGGAAACAUGCAAAACUCUAUCAAAUUACAUGAUGUAUCUACUCCUCACCUGCCGUUCGUUGUUGCCUGUUGUUAUAUCGGAUAGUGAGUCGAUGCAUUGGAUACGCAUUCUCCGUAUUUGUUUCAGAUGACGGAAAGGACUAGCAGGAGAAGAAGUACGCAAAUGGUCUCUCGCGGAUAUGACAAAUUUUCAAGGAAGUGGAUCCUGAUGAACAAGUUGAAAAAAGACAAGGAGUCAAAUUGUGUUAAAUAGUUUUUAACG